GACAGAGGUGCCAAGCGUUAGGCGGAAUCACUGGGCUUAAAGCGUGUGUAGGCGGACUUCUAAGUACCUUGUGAAAUCCCACGGCUCAACCGUGGAACUGCUCGGUAUACUGGUUGUCUUGAGCCACUUAGGGGCUACCGGAACAAAUGGUGGAGCGGUGAAAUGCGUAGAUAUCAUUUGGAACGCCAAUGGUGAAAACAGGUAGCUGGGAGUGUGCUGACGCUGAGACACGAAAGCCAGGGGAGCAAACGGG
RNAcentral lists this ribosomal RNA (253 nucleotides) under uncultured bacterium. RNAcentral's name for it is "partial 16S ribosomal RNA". It matches the Rfam family "Bacterial small subunit ribosomal RNA", at positions 524 to 776 of the family's 1533-position model. The record is from RNAcentral.